UUUUAUGGAGAGUUUGAUCCUGGCUCAGGAUGAACGCUGGCGGCGUGCCUAAUACAUGCAAGUCGAGCGAACAGACGAGGAGCUUGCUCCUCUGACGUUAGCGGCGGACGGGUGAGUAACACGUGGAUAACCUACCUAUAAGACUGGGAUAACUUCGGGAAACCGGAGCUAAUACCGGAUAAUAUAUUGAACCGCAUGGUUCAAUAGUGAAAGACGGUUUUGCUGUCACUUAUAGAUGGAUCCGCGCCGCAUUAGCUAGUUGGUAAGGUAACGGCUUACCAAGGCAACGAUGCGUAGCCGACCUGAGAGGGUGAUCGGCCACACUGGAACUGAGACACGGUCCAGACUCCUACGGGAGGCAGCAGUAGGGAAUCUUCCGCAAUGGGCGAAAGCCUGACGGAGCAACGCCGCGUGAGUGAUGAAGGUCUUCGGAUCGUAAAACUCUGUUAUUAGGGAAGAACAAAUGUGUAAGUAACUAUGCACGUC
Molecule: ribosomal RNA, 486 nt
Filed under: Staphylococcus epidermidis
Lineage: Bacteria; Bacillati; Bacillota; Bacilli; Caryophanales; Staphylococcaceae
Description: bacterial SSU rRNA
Rfam family: Bacterial small subunit ribosomal RNA
Source: RNAcentral